Saccostrea cuccullata (small rock oyster) is the source of this 282-nucleotide long non-coding RNA. RefSeq lists it as uncharacterized. The record is from RefSeq and is a predicted model, not a curated record. Lineage: Eukaryota; Metazoa; Mollusca; Bivalvia; Ostreida; Ostreidae. The transcript is spliced from 3 exons.
CAGAGACCUUACAGAUAAAGAAACCCAGCAGAUAUUUAAAUUGUGUCAUUUUAAAUCAGUGUACGACAUUGCCAAAAUUAUGACAGGAAGUUAUGUCAGCGAUCUUCAACGUCAACACACCGUAUAGGUGAGAGAGAGUAGGUCAAAUAUAGGAACAGACAAUCACAGAGGACGAUGACAAAACCAGUACAGACUAACUUUUAUAGCGAGGUAAGUACGCUACAUUUUCUUGUACUACCCGGGGAUAUACUUUAGAAUAUGCAUUUUUAACACUGUACAUUU